RNAcentral lists this unclassified non-coding RNA (335 nucleotides) under soil metagenome. RNAcentral's name for it is "partial contains 5.8S ribosomal RNA, internal transcribed spacer 2, and large subunit ribosomal RNA". The stretch from base 1 to 120 matches the Rfam family "5.8S ribosomal RNA", at positions 35 to 154 of the family's 154-position model. The record is from RNAcentral.
GAUGAAGAACGCAGCGAAAUGCGAUAAGUAAUGUGAAUUGCAGAAUUCCGUGAAUCAUCGAAUCUUUGAACGCACAUUGCGCCCCCUGGUAUUCCGGGGGGCAUGCCUGUCCGAGCGUCAUUGCAACCUUCAAGCGCGGCUUGUGUGUUGGGUCUCGUCCCCCGUGGACGGGCCCGAAAGGCAGUGGCGGCGUCCCGACAUGGUGCCCGAGCGUAUGGGAAUCCUCUUCCGCUCGAAUCGGCCCAUGCGGCGCUGGUCCUAACCAAAUUUUUUACCGGUUGACCUCGGAUCAGGUAGGGAUACCCGCUGAACUUAAGCAUAUCAAUAGCGGAGGA